Molecule: microRNA precursor, 75 nt
Filed under: Myotis lucifugus (little brown bat)
Lineage: Eukaryota; Metazoa; Chordata; Mammalia; Chiroptera; Vespertilionidae
Description: mir-9229 microRNA precursor family
Rfam family: mir-9229 microRNA precursor family
Source: Rfam by way of RNAcentral
AGACACCCUUAUGGGGCCAUACUUGCUUCGGUGGGGCUUUGGUGCUCACUGAGUCUGCCCCCUGAGUGUGUCCCG